UACGUAGGGUGCAAGCGUUAAUCGGAAUUACUGGGCGUAAAGCGUGCGCAGGCGGUUCUAUAAGACAGAUGUGAAAUCCCCGGGCUCAACCUGGGAACUGCAUUUGUGACUGUAGAGCUGGAGUACGGCAGAGGGGGAUGGAAUUCCGCGUGUAGCAGUGAAAUGCGUAGAUAUGCGGAGGAACACCGAUGGCGAAGGCAAUCCCCUGGGCCUGUACUGACGCUCCAUGCACGAAAGCGUGGGGAGCAAACAGG
RNAcentral lists this ribosomal RNA (254 nucleotides) under uncultured bacterium. Its description in RNAcentral is "partial 16S ribosomal RNA". It matches the Rfam family "Bacterial small subunit ribosomal RNA", at positions 524 to 776 of the family's 1533-position model. The record is from RNAcentral.